GUGGGGAAUAUUGGGCAAUGGGCGCAAGCCUGACCCAGCGACGCCGCGUGGGUGAUGAAGGCCUUCGGGUCGUAAAGCCCUGUCAGGUGGAAAGAAUGGGCAGUGUGCAAAUAGCACAGUGCCGUGACGGUACCACCGAAGGAAGCACCGGCCAAUUCCGUGCCAGCAGCCGCGGUAAGACGGAAGGUGCAAGCGUUGCUCGGAAUCACUGGGCGUAAAGCGCGGGCAGGCGGUCUGUUAAGUCGUUUGUGAAAAUCCGGGGCUCAACCCCGGAAAUGCAUACGAUACUGGCAGGCUGGAGACUGGUAGAGGCUAGCGGAAUUCCUGGUGUAGCGGUGGAAUGCGUAGAUAUCAGGAAGAACACCUGUGGCGAAGGCGGCUAGCUGGGCCAGUUCUGACGCUGAUCCGCGAAAGCGUGGGAGCAAACAGGAUUAGAUACCCAUGUAGUCCCUGAGCGGGCUGGCAAGGCGCAU
This 473-nucleotide ribosomal RNA is filed under the name uncultured bacterium. RNAcentral's name for it is "bacterial SSU rRNA". It matches the Rfam family "Bacterial small subunit ribosomal RNA", at positions 354 to 825 of the family's 1533-position model. The record is from RNAcentral.